GGAGCCCGUACGUCAUAGGAGUCCGUCUGAGAUCUGUCCGUUAUAGGAGUUCGAUCGGAGUCCGAUCUCCGUAAAAGCCCGGAUGGGGAUCAUUUGUCGAGGGUCUCGGCCGAAGUCUGCCUGCGAUAGAAAUCCGAAAGGAAUGCAUCCACAAUGGGAGCUCGGGUGAAGGCUUACAGUAAAAAUCCGGCAUGGACCGCUUGUAGUAGAAAUUUGAAGUAGACCGUUUGUAGCAAAAGCUCGG
RNAcentral lists this long non-coding RNA (244 nucleotides) under Elaeis guineensis (African oil palm). Its description in RNAcentral is "long non-coding RNA (EGUI_LNC055241)". Lineage: Eukaryota; Viridiplantae; Streptophyta; Magnoliopsida; Arecales; Arecaceae. The record is from RNAcentral.